Molecule: long non-coding RNA, 447 nt
Organism: Bombus pascuorum
Lineage: Eukaryota; Metazoa; Arthropoda; Insecta; Hymenoptera; Apidae
Exons: 2
Source: RefSeq, a predicted model, not a curated record
ACUGAACCUCUUUCUAUUAAACUUUAUAAAAUAGUAACAAACUUUAACUUAAUAAUAUUUUAAUAUUCUAUCGGAGACAAUAAUUGAAACGUCCUCGAGCGAAUAUUCUUGCAUUGAAUAUCGUAAAAUAGUGGAAUAUGGAAUAUCACGAAAUCUUAUUGAAAAUUUAAAAUAAAUUUCAGCAAAUUGUAUCUAUGGAUCUAAUAUCAAAUUUACAAAUUUCUGCACGAAAUUUACUCUUCCUAAGAUUCCCAUAAAAAUCUGUAGUUUAGCAAUGGUUUUUAUAACGGAACAAUAUCCAGCGAUUUUAAAGGUUUAGAGAUAUUUUAUUUUAUUCCAAAACUAAGGUUCACUAGAGGAUUGGACUCUGCCCAAAAUUGGCGCGAGAGAGAGAGGGAGAGAGAGAGAGAGAGAGAGAGUCGCGGCACGAGCUGCAAUUCAAAUCGA